GGAAGAUUGCCCUGUCCUGAGGACAGGACAGCCAGCUUCAUGGGCACUUGACAUGAAAACCUCCAGUGGCCUCAGUACCCAGGUGGGGAGGGCAAAACCAAGGAACAUGAAGGUGUUGGGGAUGCACCUGGGCCUCAGCCUGGCAAAGAGCCCAAGAAACACCCAGAAGGCUGAGGAAAGGCUCUGCUGAGUCUAUCUUCGCUUUGUUUUUUGCAAGAAAAGUUUUCCUUUUAGGAAAAGCAGUCAUCUCUGUGCUGAGCACUAGGGAAACCUCAGAUGACUCAGCCCCAUGGAAAGCAAGCCACUUCCUGCCGUGUUAAAGGAGACUGCGCUGACCUUCAAAUCCAGCGAGUGGUGACACGGGUCUGUCAGCUAGUGUUAGGGAUUGUGUAGUUAUUUUUUAUGAAGGACACAGGAAGCCAGAGAAAAGAGACAUUCAGAAGGGAGAGAAUUCUAGAAAUUCAUCACAUUUUGUGGGAAUCCUUAAAAUAAUAAGU
This 497-nucleotide long non-coding RNA is filed under the name Homo sapiens (human). RNAcentral's name for it is "HSALNT0265647". The record is from RNAcentral. Lineage: Eukaryota; Metazoa; Chordata; Mammalia; Primates; Hominidae.